CUUGGAUUCAAAUGUGUUUGCAAUCAUGGAUACGAAGGGGACGGAGUUGAUUGUAUCAAGAAGUGUGGGGCAAAUGCCCUGUGUAUUCAUUUAAACACGUCUCAAAUAUUGCCUCCUGAUCAGUGCAUUGAAGCUAUGGGCCGCAAAUGUGUUUGCAAUCAAGGUUAUGAAGGGGACGGAUUUACUUGCAACAGGACCACUGUAUAAACUUUCCUAAAAUCAAUAUCAUGAAGUUAUUGCUAAAAAAGGAAACUAGAGCUGUAUUAUUAUCUAGAAUCACAGAUAGAAGAAAGAUUUAUUUACAGAAACAUUGAAUUUAGUGUAUGAAUUUUGUGUCAUACAGAUGAAAAUAAAACAUUGAUGGCAUUGCAUUUGGUACUUUUUUAUGUUCUUAUAUUGUCAACAGAGAUAAAGGGCUACUCAAUUGGACUUUUUUACCAAAAUAAAUUUUUCUGGGUAAAGAGCAAGGCCUGUCCUAGCAUUUGGAUUCAAUGUUUUAUUCCAUUAAUUGAAGACUUUAAUUAAAAUGACUAAGCAGUCAUAAUGAAUGACAUUUGUGGUCACAAGCAUUGCCUUCUUUUCACACAAGAAAAUGAGGAGUAGUUUUGAAUAGCGUCCUUGCGCCAUGUUUAAUAGAGAUGUUGCAAGUUAGCAAUGGGUACUCAUGGAGGCAGAGAAGAUAAUAAUGACACAAUGACCCUUAUUUAAGGGGUCUCUGUUGUCUUGGGGUCUCUAUAGUCUGAAUUGAGGAAACAUAAAAAGCUUACAAG
Long non-coding RNA from Lingula anatina, 770 nucleotides. The record is from RefSeq and is a predicted model, not a curated record. Lineage: Eukaryota; Metazoa; Brachiopoda; Lingulata; Lingulida; Lingulidae.